Long non-coding RNA from Amaranthus tricolor (Joseph's coat), 1299 nucleotides. RefSeq lists it as uncharacterized. Lineage: Eukaryota; Viridiplantae; Streptophyta; Magnoliopsida; Caryophyllales; Amaranthaceae. The transcript has 2 exons. The record is from RefSeq and is a predicted model, not a curated record.
UAGUAAUAAAAAAAAUCAGAAAAACAGUUUUGUGCCUCCAUUCAUCAUCUUCUUCAUGGUCCUAAACCCUAACUCACCGUUAGAAGGAAAAGACCAGAUUUUCUCCCUCCUUCUCUCAAAAUUUCGAGCAACAGUGUUAUUCUCCCUCUACCAUUUGGAACCCUCUCUUUUCUCUGAAGUUUUAGAAGAUCACAGCAAGCAAAAUCAAUUUUUGAUUUCCCCCGAAAUUUCAAAACACAAAUGAACAACAAUGGCUUCUCCUUACUACACUCGAUUCCUUAAACAAGCAACAACAAUGCCCUCUUGUUGUUUGGAAAUUUUGAAGCCCCAUUCUCUCAAUCUUGUUCUUCUUCCUCUAAUUUUUCGCUGGAACACAUAGUCCUGACCUCCUUCUUUGCCUUCGAUUUUCGAAGGAACAGGGCAAGCUUCAACAGAUUUCAAAUGUGACAAGCCAAGCCAAUAGCAGGCGUGUUCAGUAGCCUUUACCGACACCUAAAUUCUUCAAGGAAGGAGACGUUUUUGCUAUGGAUUCCUUCUAGUUGAUAGCGGUGAACUGGAUUCAAUACCUUGAAGUGACGUUAUCGGUGAGUAGUAGCAGUCCCUUAAAGGGUCUGGUCGGACUACUUUUCUGAAAUAGUUUUAAUAAAAUUAUUUUGAAAUUGUUAAUUGCUGAGACAAAUUCGUUGUGAUUUAUUAUGAUGAUAUUGUUAUAUGGGUCAAUGGAUCGGGCUUACGAGCUAGCCGUUGACAGAGCGGUGGGACAUCCUCUCCUACUACUUGUUUUUGAGGCGAGUUGUCAUUCAGAUAUUGACUAGCUUCAUCCGAGAGCGACAUAGCCUUGGAACUAUGGGGCACCAAUCAAACUAGACUCCCUGUGCGCACAAAGAUCUAGGAAAAUGAUGUUGCUUUUAAUUCUUUUAUUUUGAUUUCAUAAUUGUUUUGUUUUGGAUUGCUUCUGCUCAUUCAGUUAAAUUUAACUCCCUGUUGUUUUCAUCUUUAAGAUUUCCUACAGAUUGGUACCGGCCGGGAAUGAAAGGAUAUUAGAGGUGAUUAGAGUAUAUUUGGAUAUCAUUUUUGAUUUGAGUAUGUAUAGAAAUUAUAGUUUGUAUGUUGGGCAUUAGUAGGUGUGUAGUGGGUUUGGUUACGUUAACUAUUUUAGACUUUCAUAGUUGGUUGUAUGAUUAUUUUGGACUUUUGGUUUAGCUGUUUGGAUUUAAGAUUAGUUGUUGUACUUAUGUUUUAGAUCUUGUGAGCCUUUUACGAGCUAUGAUUGAGAUUUGAGUUCUUUGGGUUAGUAAA